Molecule: transfer RNA, 62 nt
Filed under: Amblyomma triguttatum (ornate kangaroo tick)
Lineage: Eukaryota; Metazoa; Arthropoda; Arachnida; Ixodida; Ixodidae
Description: tRNA-Leu
Source: RNAcentral
AUUAAAGUGACAGAAAAUGUGAGGAAUUUAAGCUUCCUCUAUGAAUAAAAAUUCCUUUAAUA